GCCAGACUCACAGUUUUUGCUUCAUAACGUCGAAACCACAGUUUUCCUUGAUGACCUAGAAGAGUUUCAGAAACAAGAAGCACCAUUUACCCACUGGGUCUCAUGCACGUUACGUACUUGAGAAAUGGUGGAAUGCUAGAGCCAGGAUCAGAGAACACCCCCAAAGGAAGGACACUGAGCUGACAGAUGCCAGUGCGUAAGUACCGUGCCAUUGCGUGACUGUUGAGACACCGCAUGCCCCCUGUCGUAUUUACAGGGUGGCUCCACUCUGCAAAUGAGGAGCCCAGGGAACCGAGAAUUCUCAACGGCAACGCCAGUCUCACGCAUGCAGAAUCUCGCUGAUGUCUAACUCCUCACCAUCCUCACCUUCCUAUUUUCCGACCACACUGAACCACAUGAAGCCACCUCGGGAAAGCCCAGGUUGAAAUCCUUACCUCUGUGCGUUCACUGAUAUGGAUGUGAAAAUCCUCAAUACAAAUAAUAAAACAUGGCUCUUUACGAUGUUCCCAUUGGGUGUC
Microcebus murinus (gray mouse lemur) is the source of this 518-nucleotide non-coding RNA. The record is from RefSeq and is a predicted model, not a curated record. NCBI's taxonomy places the organism in Eukaryota, Metazoa, Chordata, Mammalia, Primates, Cheirogaleidae.